AUUGAACGCUGGCGGCAGGCCUAACACAUGCAAGUCGAACGGUAACAGGAAGAAGCUUGCUUCUUUGCUGACGAGUGGCGGACGGGUGAGUAAUGUCUGGGAAACUGCCUGAUGGAGGGGGAUAACUACUGGAAACGGUAGCUAAUACCGCAUAACGUCGCAAGACCAAAGAGGGGGACUUUCGGGCCUCUUGCCAUCGGCUGUGCCCAGAUGGGAUUAGCUAGUAGGUGGGGUAACGGCUCACCUAGGCGACGAUCCCUAGCUGGUCUGAGAGGAUGACCAGCCACACUGGAACUGAGACACGGUCCAGACUCCUACGGGAGGCAGCAGUGGGGAAUAUUGCACAAUGGGCGCAAGCCUGAUGCAGCCAUGCCGCGUGUAUGAAGAGGGCCUUCGGGUUGUAAAGUACUUUCAGCGGGGAGGAAGGGAGUAAAGUUAAUACCUUUACUCAUUGACGUUACCCGCAGAAGAAGCACCGGCUAACUCCGUG
RNAcentral lists this ribosomal RNA (490 nucleotides) under uncultured bacterium. Its description in RNAcentral is "partial 16S ribosomal RNA". It matches the Rfam family "Bacterial small subunit ribosomal RNA", at positions 30 to 507 of the family's 1533-position model. The record is from RNAcentral.